This 253-nucleotide ribosomal RNA is filed under the name uncultured bacterium. RNAcentral's name for it is "partial 16S ribosomal RNA". It matches the Rfam family "Bacterial small subunit ribosomal RNA", at positions 524 to 776 of the family's 1533-position model. The record is from RNAcentral.
UACGGAGGGUGCAAGCGUUAUCCGGAUUCACUGGGUUUAAAGGGUGCGUAGGUGGGUUGGUAAGUCAGUGGUGAAAUCUCCAGGCUUAACUUGGAAACUGCCAUUGAUACUAUCAAUCUUGAAUACCGUGGAGGUCAGCGGAAUAUGUCAUGUAGCGGUGAAAUGCUUAGACAUGACAUAGAACACCAAUUGCGAAGGCAGCUGGCUACACGAAUAUUGACACUGAUGCACGAAAGCGUGGGGAUCAAACAGG